UACGUAGGGUGCGAGCGUUGUCCGGAAUUACUGGGCGUAAAGAGCUCGUAGGUGGUUUGUCGCGUUGUUCGUGAAAACUCACAGCUCAACUGUGGGCGUGCGGGCGAUACGGGCAGACUGGAGUACUGCAGGGGAGACUGGAAUUCCUGGUGUAGCGGUGGAAUGCGCAGAUAUCUGGAGGAACACCGGUGGCGAAGGCGGCGUUCUGGACUGCAACUGACACUGAUGAACGAAAGCCAGGGGAGCAAACGGG
RNAcentral lists this ribosomal RNA (253 nucleotides) under uncultured bacterium. RNAcentral describes it as "partial 16S ribosomal RNA". It matches the Rfam family "Bacterial small subunit ribosomal RNA", at positions 524 to 776 of the family's 1533-position model. The record is from RNAcentral.